This 741-nucleotide ribosomal RNA is filed under the name uncultured Alphaproteobacteria bacterium. RNAcentral describes it as "bacterial SSU rRNA". It matches the Rfam family "Bacterial small subunit ribosomal RNA", at positions 8 to 794 of the family's 1533-position model. The record is from RNAcentral. Lineage: Bacteria; Pseudomonadati; Pseudomonadota; Alphaproteobacteria.
AGAGUUUGAUCCUGGCUCAGAACGUACGCUGGCGGCACGCCUAAUACAUGCAAGUCGAACGAAGUAGCAAUACUUAGUGGCAGACGGGUGAGUAACAUGUAGGUAUCUACCCUUUGGCCUGGAAUAACACGAGGAAACUUGUGCUAAUACCGGAUAAGUCUUUACGGAGAAAGCUUUAUGCACCAUUGGAUGAGCCUGCACUUGAUUAGUUUGUUGGUGGGGUAAUGGCCUACCAAGACAAUGAUCAAUAGCUGAUUUGAGAGGAUGAUCAGCCACAUUGGGACUGAGACACGGCCCAAACUCCUACGGGAGGCAGCAGUAGGGAAUCUUGCACAAUGGAGGAAACUCUGAUGCAGCGAUGCCGCGUGAGUGAAGAAGGCCUUUGGGUUGUAAAGCUCUUUCGUCGGGGAAGAAAAUGACUGUACCCGAAUAAGAAGGUCCGGCUAACUUCGUGCCAGCAGCCGCGGUAAUACGAAGGGACCUAGCGUAGUUCGGAAUUACUGGGCUUAAAGAGUUCGUAGGUGGUUAAAAAAGUUGGUGGUGAAAUCCCAGAGCUUAACUCUGGUACUGCCAUCAAAACUUUUUAGCUAGAGUAUGAUAGAGGAAAGCAGAAUUUCUAGUGUAGAGGUGAAAUUCGUAGAUAUUAGGAAGAAUACCGAUUGCGAAGGCAGCUUUCUGGAUCAUUACUGACACUGAGGAAUGAAAGCAUGGGUAGCGAAGAGGAUUAGAUACCCUCGUAGU